GGACCAAGAAGUCUAACGUGUGCGCGAGUCAUUGGGUGAAAAACCUAAAGGCGCAAUGAAAGUAAAGGAAACUUUCUUUCUGAGGGAAGAUGGGAGCGGAGGGCGCCCGUCCCUCCCUCUCCGCACUCCCGGGGCGUCUCUUUCUCAUUGCGAGUGGAGGCGCACCUAGAGCGCACACGUUGGGACCCGAAAGAUGGUGAACUAUGCCUGGCCAGGACGAAGCCAGGGGAAACCCUGGUGGAGGUCCGCAGCGAUUCUGACGUGCAAAUCGAUCGUCAGAGCUGGGUAUAGGGGCGAAAGACUAAUCGAACCAUCUAGUAGCUGGUUCCUUC
This 332-nucleotide ribosomal RNA is filed under the name Aepophilus bonnaerei. RNAcentral's name for it is "eukaryotic LSU rRNA". It matches the Rfam family "Eukaryotic large subunit ribosomal RNA", at positions 663 to 961 of the family's 3401-position model. The record is from RNAcentral. Lineage: Eukaryota; Metazoa; Arthropoda; Insecta; Hemiptera; Aepophilidae.